CCGGAAUAUUGGGCGUAAGGGCUCGCAGGCGGUUUCUUAAGUCUGAUGUGAAAGCCCCCGGCUCAACCGGGGAGGGUCAUUGGAAACUGGGAAACUUGAGUGCAGAAGAGGAGAGUGGAAUUCCACGUGUAGCGGUGAAAUGCGUAGAGAUGUGGAGGAACACCAGUGGCGAAGGCGACUCUCUGGUCUGUAACUGACGCUGAGGAGCGAAAGCGUGGGGAGCGAACAGGAUUAGAUACCC
RNAcentral lists this ribosomal RNA (241 nucleotides) under Bacillus sp. (in: firmicutes). Its description in RNAcentral is "Bacillus sp. (in: Bacteria) partial 16S ribosomal RNA". It matches the Rfam family "Bacterial small subunit ribosomal RNA", at positions 545 to 787 of the family's 1533-position model. The record is from RNAcentral. Lineage: Bacteria; Bacillati; Bacillota; Bacilli; Caryophanales; Bacillaceae.